This 373-nucleotide ribosomal RNA is filed under the name uncultured organism. RNAcentral's name for it is "partial 16S ribosomal RNA". It matches the Rfam family "Bacterial small subunit ribosomal RNA", at positions 527 to 896 of the family's 1533-position model. The record is from RNAcentral.
GUAGGUGGCAAGCGUUGUCCGGAAUUAUUGGGCGUAAAGCGCGCGCAGGUGGUUCUUUAAGUCUGAUGUGAAAGCCCCCGGCUCAACCGGGGAGGGUCAUUGGAAACUGGGGAACUUGAGUGCAGGAGAGGAAAGUGGAAUUCCACGUGUAGCGGUGAAAUGCGUAGAUAUGUGGAGGAACACCAGUGGCGAAGGCGACUUUCUGGCCUGUAACUGACACUGAGGCGCGAAAGCGUGGGGAGCAAACAGGAUUAGAUACCCUGGUAGUCCACGCCGUAAACGAUGAGUGCUAAGUGUUGGGGGGGUGUCCCGCCCCCUCAGUGCUGCAGCUAACGCAUUAAGCACUCCGCCUGGGGAUACGGUCGCAAGACUG